Molecule: ribosomal RNA, 253 nt
Filed under: uncultured bacterium
Lineage: Bacteria
Description: partial 16S ribosomal RNA
Rfam family: Bacterial small subunit ribosomal RNA
Source: RNAcentral
UACGGGGGGGGCAAGCGUUGUUCGGAAUUACUGGGCGUAAAGGGCGCGUAGGCGGUUUCCUAAGUCGGACGUGAAAUCCCCAAGCUUAACUUGGGAACUGCAUCCGAUACUGGGUAACUUGAGUUCGGGAGAGGAAUGUGGAAUUCCAGGUGUAGCGGUGAAAUGCGUAGAUAUCUGGAGGAACACCGGUGGCGAAGGCGGCAUUCUGGACCGAAACUGACGCUGAGGCGCGAAAGCCAGGGGAGCAAACGGG